AGAACGAACGCUGGCGGCAUGCCUAAUACAUGCAAGUCGAACGAACUCUUCGGAGUUAGUGGCGCACGGGUGCGUAACGCGUGGGAAUCUGCCCCUUGGUUCGGAAUAACAGUUGGAAACGACUGCUAAUACCGGAUGAUGACGAAAGUCCAAAGAUUUAUCGCCAAGGGAUGAGCCCGCGUAGGAUUAGCUAGUUGGUGAGGUAGACGUC
RNAcentral lists this ribosomal RNA (211 nucleotides) under uncultured soil bacterium. RNAcentral's name for it is "partial 16S ribosomal RNA". It matches the Rfam family "Bacterial small subunit ribosomal RNA", at positions 26 to 265 of the family's 1533-position model. The record is from RNAcentral.